AUUGAACGCUGGCGGCAUGCUUUACACAUGCAAGUCGAACGGUAACAGGUCUUCGGAUGCUGACGAGUGGCGAACGGGUGAGUAAUGCAUCGGAACGUGCCCAGUCGUGGGGGAUAACGCAGCGAAAGCUGUGCUAAUACCGCAUACGAUCUAUGGAUGAAAGCGGGGGAUCGCAAGACCUCGCGCGAUUGGAGCGGCCGAUGUCAGAUUAGCUAGUUGGUGGGGUAAAGGCCCACCAAGGCGACGAUCUGUAGCUGGUCUGAGAGGACGACCAGCCACACUGGGACUGAGACACGGCCCAGACUCCUACGGGAGGCAGCAGUGGGGAAUUUUGGACAAUGGGCGCAAGCCUGAUCCAGCAAUGCCGCGUGCAGGACGAAGGCCUUCGGGUUGUAAACUGCUUUGUACGGAACGAAAGGUAGCUCCUAAUACGAGCUGCUGAUGACGGUACCGUAAGAAUAAGCACCGGCUAAC
This 474-nucleotide ribosomal RNA is filed under the name uncultured bacterium. Its description in RNAcentral is "bacterial SSU rRNA". It matches the Rfam family "Bacterial small subunit ribosomal RNA", at positions 30 to 501 of the family's 1533-position model. The record is from RNAcentral.